Anolis carolinensis (green anole) is the source of this 380-nucleotide long non-coding RNA. Lineage: Eukaryota; Metazoa; Chordata; Lepidosauria; Squamata; Anolidae. The record is from Ensembl.
CCCGGUCUCUGCCCCCCUCCCCUCUUGCCACAGGUGAGCUCCUGCCCUCCCACCUGGCCGCCGGCCCUUCCCAUCAUGCCCUCACACUGAACUCCUCCCCCUCCUCUCCUCCCCCGGCGUGGGCGUGGUGUCUCUCCCGCCAUGGGUCAGGUGUGCCACUGGGAGGUCAGACUCUGCCUCCAGCAUCAACGCCCUGGAGUAGCAUGACGCCACUUGGGCUGCCUUGGCUCAAGGCGCACACUCACUCUUGGGCAGGAGGCCAAACCUCAGCUCUCAGGCUGAAAUGUGGGAAAGAAUUAGCUGUGGAAACGUUCAAGGCUGGCACAGAUGGAGGCCUUCCUGGGGACCUUUUGAAAAAUGAGACAGGAGGGAAACAAUAA